Molecule: non-coding RNA, 397 nt
Organism: Salmo salar (Atlantic salmon)
Lineage: Eukaryota; Metazoa; Chordata; Actinopteri; Salmoniformes; Salmonidae
Source: RefSeq, a predicted model, not a curated record
CAGCAGAGUUGGGGACAGAUAUGCAGGGACAGACUGGCAGAGACAGGGAGUCUCAGUUGAUAUCAGAUUUUCGCCCCUGACGGGCCGCCUCCCAGACGUCCUACUGGUUUCACUCUCGAGCGGGUGGUCUUUGCCUGUGGAUCUUCUCUUGACCAGACUAUGGAAGGCCGCGGUAUGAGCCUCUUUCCUGGUGAGGGGGCCUCCCUGUCUUCCUACCCGAGUUAGCAAUGGAGCCCUGGGCUUCACUUUAUCAACCCGGGUCACCCCUCUUGGUACAUCUCUGCUUUCCACAGAGAUGGCUUCCGUCUGCUCUCCAGAGGGUGGUGAGGUCUGCCCAACGCAUCACCGGGGCCAAACUACCCGCCCUCCAGGACACCUACAGCACCCGAUGUCACAG